AGGCGUAUAGCUCAGUUGGAAUAUAAUGAAUUUAGAUUAUCCUUGACAUCGUAGAGGUCUCCAGUUCGAGUCUGGAUAUGCCUACCA
Molecule: transfer RNA, 87 nt
Filed under: Acinetobacter baumannii TYTH-1
Lineage: Bacteria; Pseudomonadati; Pseudomonadota; Gammaproteobacteria; Moraxellales; Moraxellaceae
Description: tRNA-Val (GAC) (tRNA-Val-GAC-2-1)
Source: RNAcentral